Molecule: long non-coding RNA, 995 nt
Organism: Canis lupus familiaris (dog)
Lineage: Eukaryota; Metazoa; Chordata; Mammalia; Carnivora; Canidae
Exons: 3
Source: RefSeq, a predicted model, not a curated record
ACCUGUGAAUAUGUUACCUCAUAUGGCUAAAGGGACAUGAUUUUUAAAAGCAGAGAAAGUUUCUUGGCUAUAGUCAGAAGAAGAUGUCAUGAUGGAAGACGAGUCAGAGAGAUGUGACAUUGUUGACUUUGAAGAUGGAGCAAUGGACCAUAAGUCAAGCAAUGCAGAUAGCCUCUAGAAGCCUGAAAGAAUAAAGAAACUGAUUCUCCCCUGGAGCCUCUGGAAAGGAACUCAGCCCUGCUAACACCCUUGAUCUUUAGCCCAGUGAGACCCAUGUCUGACUUCUAACCUCUGGAACAAUAAGGACUGUGCCCUUGCUGAGAACGGGAGCUCCAGCAGAAGAUCCAUCAAGACUCCACUCCAAAGUGCAUGUGGUGACUGUCAGAUCGGCCCCUCAGAAGGGCAGAAUGAAGCCCUCCUCUGCUGAGUACUGAAGAAACUUCGCCCAGCCCCAUUCAUCCCAAAGACUGCUUGACUAGACACUGUUCAUCCUCAGCUAAUAAAAAGAAAUCAAUUGAAGUUAUAAUCCUGUCGAGUCCUCCAAGAAGCAAGCCAUCAGAGAGGACAAAUCUUGAGAUGUGUCUGUCCUUGGAAAACUGGGUCGAACUCAAGGAAAACACUCAUUCUCCUGAGACAAUACCUCUCUGGCAAAGCUGCCUCCCACCCUGAAUAAAUGCAAACAUGCCAACUGCAUUGGAGACAUUGCAUGCCAACUGUCCGUUUGGAGAUAUUCCUCUCGUUUUAGACACAAUGAGAACACCAUGUGACUGUGUGCUUCAAAGCAUGACAUGCAGGCCGGAUCUCAAACUCAGGGUCAGCCACAGAGACAAGACACUCAUCAGCUCAGGACACACUUCCUUCGGCCAACAUUGUACCAGGAUGUGUAGAGCCUAGUGCUUUCUCAGAACAGCCCAUGGAAGCAAAGCAAGGCGGCCUAUCACCUUCUGGCUGUGGCACCUACUUUCUAGGGGCCUCAGGUUUGUAUAAAAAGAAGA